CAACCUGCCCAGAAAACUCUCAACUUUUCCAUCUUUUCUUUCUCUCCAAUUCUAUUCUCUUCUCCUCUACCUUCUCCAUUCUUGGAAAAACAAGUCUAGAAAUUUUUUUAUUUUUUUGUUUUUAAAUUAAAGAAGAAGAAGAAGCUAUCCUAGAUGGGUGAUGCUUCAGCUGAGUAUAUCCACAUGGUGCACCACCUAAUAGAAGAGUGCCUAAUGUUCAAGAUGAGUAAGGAGGAAUGCAUGGAAGCACUCUCUAAACAUGCAAAUAUCCAGCCACUUAUCACUUCCACUGUGUGGAAGGAAUUAGAGAAAGAGAACAAAGAGUUCUUUGAGGCGUACAAGAAGCAGGGAAGAGAGGAAAGUGCAGAAAUAAUGGAGACGACAAGGCAAAAAGUUGAGAAGAUGGUUUUAGGUUCUUGGAAGAAAGACCCAAAAGACGAAGCAUGAUGAUGAUGAUGAGUAUAUUCAAUAAUAAUAAGCUAAGAUACAUAUAUAUAUAUAAUGAUGAUGAUAAGGGUAUCUGAUCUGCGACGUAUGGGAUAGCGCAGCAUGGGGAAGUGUCGAUAUGAUGUUGAUAAGGCCGGGCAUCAUAUAUGUUUAAUUUGCUGGGUGUAAUAUAUUUUGUCGUGUGGAAUUUGUUGGAGAGCAGCUGGAUGAAAUAAAUGAAGUAGUACGUUGAGAAAGGGAAGAAAGGGACGUACAUUUUUGUAUCCAAAAUUAAUGGUUGGUCACAAAUGUUUUUGCGGUACAUAUAUGAUAGCCCCCUUUCAUUCAUCA
Molecule: RNA transcript, 777 nt
Organism: Ipomoea nil (Japanese morning glory)
Lineage: Eukaryota; Viridiplantae; Streptophyta; Magnoliopsida; Solanales; Convolvulaceae
Exons: 4
Source: RefSeq, a predicted model, not a curated record